CCUUUUGUCGAGGGGCUUGAAGUUCAAGAAGCGACACUAAUGCCGAAUCGAACAAGGAGAAGAAAGUGAAUUCGCCUAGGAAGAGGGGCGACCCAUUUCCAGUUGCAGCCAUACCCUUGGCCCGCUCGGAAUACCUUCAAAGCACCAAGAAGACAAAAUCUCAGCUCCAGGGGCCCAGGGGCGAGAGGGAUGUAAACGCACGCGAUCGUUGCGUUGUCGUGCUCUUAAGCCCAUAAUUUAAUGGGAAAAUGACUUCAGCUGUCGCCGCUUUACAGCGUUAACGCAGUAAAGUGGCGACAGUGUCUGAUUUUCCGCAUUCGGCCAGCAGCGGUGCGGUAAGCAAACGCGCACAUCAGCCCCAUGGACUAUCGAGAAAUAAAUUACUAUGGCGUCACGUUUUGGACUCGUUGCUAUCCGUACCUGGCCGACUGUCGUACCUUACCGUACAAGAGUCCUGUUAUUACGAGCAAUCAAAUUCUGCCUCAGCAGCCUUCUCACAGCCUCAUAAUUCCCCCUGUUUCAUGGCCUAGUUAGAAGGCUGUGGGAGUAGCAUUCAUCAGCAUACAUAUUGUCCAUACAGACUCUGUGCAGAUGAGCACCAACCGCGUCACAACCUCCAUACUGCGUAGUCACCCCGUGCAGCAGCGUGGCAAGGAGAUGCGAAAAACACACUUCACGGGUUGGGCUGCCCAGAUUCGGACGGCUGCAUGCUGUUGCACCAGUCCUUGGGUUGCGUACCUGGACAUCCAUCAUAUGCAAUAGAAACAUAUUAUAUAUAUUUUAUUAAUUAUUGUUAUAUAUAAUUAUUUAAUUAUGAUUUGGAUAUGCGCUGUAUAAUUUGUAUUUUUUUCUCCCCGACUGCUUUGCGUCCUUUCGGACUUUCGCCUGGAGGACUACCGAACGAUUUGGACCCAUCCGCAAGCAGUAGCUAAUUAUUUUUAUCUAAGUAGACGCGCCAUGCAUCCCAUGCCUCUCUCCUGAGUAGAUAGCGCUUCAACGUUGGCGCAGCGGAGCCUGUGUCUUGCGCCAUCGGAUGAGCAAUAACCGCGUCACAACCUCCAUACUGCGUAGUCACCCCGUGCAGCAGCGUGGCAAGGAGAUGCGAAAAACACACUUCACGGGUUGGGCUGC
Molecule: long non-coding RNA, 1131 nt
Filed under: Volvox carteri
Lineage: Eukaryota; Viridiplantae; Chlorophyta; Chlorophyceae; Chlamydomonadales; Volvocaceae
Description: long non-coding RNA (VCAR_LNC000408)
Source: RNAcentral